Molecule: long non-coding RNA, 224 nt
Filed under: Lathyrus oleraceus (garden pea)
Lineage: Eukaryota; Viridiplantae; Streptophyta; Magnoliopsida; Fabales; Fabaceae
Description: Pisum sativum (pea) long non-coding RNA (PSAT_LNC005500)
Source: RNAcentral
GUUUUUUUUCUAUUUUUUGAAUUUCUGUUUUAUUUUCUUUUAUUCCAUUUAUUGUCUUUUCCCUUUGCUCAUUUGAGCUCAUGUUUAUGUUUAUGCCAUUUGCCUUUUGCCCACUUGAGCACAUUAUUGUGUAAAUAUACUAUUGCUUUGUGCUUGUUUUGUCUUUGUUUGUGUGAACCCAAUGCAAAAAGGAGAAAUGACUUAGAAUUAGGACCUCACCUAUG